This 366-nucleotide ribosomal RNA is filed under the name uncultured Synergistaceae bacterium. RNAcentral describes it as "bacterial SSU rRNA". It matches the Rfam family "Bacterial small subunit ribosomal RNA", at positions 1018 to 1382 of the family's 1533-position model. The record is from RNAcentral. Lineage: Bacteria; Thermotogati; Synergistota; Synergistia; Synergistales; Synergistaceae.
CGGAGUGAGAGCGUACACAGGUGCUGCAUGGCUGUCGGUCAGCUCGUGUCGUGAGAUGUUGGGUUAAGUCCCGCAACGAGCGCAACCCCUGCAUUCAGUUGCCAUCGGUAAGGCCGGGCACUCUGGAUGGACUGCCGGCGACAAGCCGGAGGAAGGUGGGGACGACGUCAAGUCAUCAUGGCCCUUAUGUCCAGGGCGACACACGUGCUACAAUGGCCGGCACAACGGGAAGCGAGUUCGCGAGGACGAGCGGAUCCCUUAAAGCCGGUCGCAGUUCGGAUUGAAGUCUGCAACUCGACUUCAUGAAGCUGGAAUCGCUAGUAAUCGUGGAUCAGCCAAGCCGCGGUGAAUACGUUCCCGGGCCUU